Molecule: ribosomal RNA, 217 nt
Filed under: uncultured bacterium
Lineage: Bacteria
Description: partial 16S ribosomal RNA
Rfam family: Bacterial small subunit ribosomal RNA
Source: RNAcentral
UACGGAGGGUGCGAGCGUUGUCCGGAAUCACUGGGCGUAAAGGGCGCGUAGGCGGCGCGGAAAGUCGUCGGUGAAAGCUCGGGGCUCAACCCUGAGUCUGCCGGUGAUACUCCCGCGCUCGAGCUCACUAGAGGCAGAUGGAAUUCCGGGUGUAGCGGUGGAAUGCGUAGAGAUCCGGAAGAACACCGGUGGCGAAGGCGGUCUGCUGGGGUGAGGC